CAGCUUGAAGCUGUUACCUGUAGGUGGUGUCGUGAACACUGCAGUGUUAUGGAGGGCAGGGGUUUUGACACAGGUUGGCAGCAGAGGCCGAAGUAUUUUCCACUUUCCAACCCCGUGGACGAUAUGCCACCUGGCUGACUUCGACUCACCCAACCUGGGACGGUUGACCUUCAAGGCCUCCUGGACUCAGAGCAGCGUAGGAGAGAUCUGGAAGUCAGUCUGGCUCGGGUCGAAAGUGCUCUGCAGAAACAGAGGCUCCGACUGCUCCAGAGAAUGGGCCGAGGGAGCCGGCAUGCACAACCCCAAGUAAUAGACAGCUGCUGCUGCCACCUGUUCUGUAGUAUAGGCUGUGUCCUUCAUGACCACUGAUCUAUGAUUGGACUGGAUACUUGUUUUGAAUCUUUGGCAGAUCAAACGACCAGAAACUCCAUCCCAGACUGUUAUCAGGGAAUGUCUACAUCCCACCAUGUGGUGACCUUUACAGAAGGAGCAAGACAACCUUGAGCAUCUGCUGGAGGAGUCUAGGGCCUAGCAGGGCCUGGUGGAGCAGGUAAGGGAUGCCUCAGAGGCCCGUAUGGAAGCCCUCCACUCCCAGCUAUAUUAGGAACGCUUCAGCUUCCAGGAGACACACAGAGAGAGACUGGCCACACAGGCAGAGCAACAUGGCAGCAAGCAGGUGGAGAAUUGGAAGACCAGACCAACUAAACUGGUACAGGGAUUCACACCCAAAAUGGAUUCAAGUGGUUCCUUCUACACUUCGUAUUUGUACAGAAGCAUGUAAUCUUGCCAGACGUCUCGGUAGUAUCUAACCCAGGCCUCACCUGAUAAGGCUAACAGAAAACUGAACGGGGUUGUGAACCAGUAGAAGUCAGGUUUUACCAAUCAUCACACCAGUUGUGAGUAGCCACACAACAGUUGUCUGUAUAAUAAUGCCACAGUAAAGACAUAUACUAUUUUGUGUAACACCACUAUGUUGGCUGAUGAUCUGCAGAUGAAUAAGUCCCUGUAAAUGGAGGUGGUGUCUCUCAGACAGAGGCUGGGGUCUGCAGAGGAGUGACCAACCUGAUGGAGAGUGACAGGCACCUACUCAGGGUUAUCCUAGCGGCACCGGAGACUGAGCGGGAGGAGCUGUUUCAACAAGGACACCCCUCAGCCAUUGGGUAAGGAACCCCCAGCCUCUAAUAUUGGUGCACUUCGAGGGCUGAAAGAAUCAAAUGGAUAAAAUCAAUAUGGUUCUACUUAGCUCUUUUAUAGGCUGGGGUAGAAUGUCCUCCGUAUUACUGCCUUACACCUAUCCAAACCUUAUGGUCGUCAUACGUGCAAAGAGAGUAUGGGUGGAUUUGGGAUGGAAUCAGUAUCUCUACCUUCAAUCUUGAGGUAAUGGAGAAUUUUAUUUUCUCAUUGUUUUCACUCUUUACAUCAGAGUGCUGAUAGCUCCAGAACACGGAGAAACAGUCAGACUUCUAACGGAGGAACAAAAAACAGUGGUUUGUCAGUCCAAUUGGAAAUGGUCAGACUUACAAAGGACGAGCCAGAAGCAUGGGUUUGUCAGUCCACAUCUUUUUGUCUCUUAGGAGCACUUGGGAAACGAAAGUGGAAAUCUCUGGAAAGGAGGAGAGGGUGAGGGAGGAGAGUGCCGUGUAUGAAAUGGAGGAACAAGAUGAGGAGGAGAGAGCGGAAGGGAAUAAUGUGUGUUAUUCAUCUGCAGUCAAAAUUCAGUGAGGACUUAAGAUCCAUGAGGUGACCCACUCUAGGCCUGGCCCACAGAAAGAAAUAAAGGAAGAGAACCUGGUAACUGCCUCUUUGGGAGUCCUUUCCUACAGCACCAUGUCACGUUGAAGCGGUCUAACAUGUGGCAGACUGAUGUUUCCUUUCAAACAUACCUCUCCUCCAAACUCCACUUCAGCAGUU
Long non-coding RNA from Oncorhynchus gorbuscha (pink salmon), 1911 nucleotides. RefSeq lists it as uncharacterized. The record is from RefSeq and is a predicted model, not a curated record. The transcript has 3 exons. Lineage: Eukaryota; Metazoa; Chordata; Actinopteri; Salmoniformes; Salmonidae.